This is a long non-coding RNA of Amphiprion ocellaris (clown anemonefish), 5387 nucleotides long. RefSeq lists it as uncharacterized. NCBI's taxonomy places the organism in Eukaryota, Metazoa, Chordata, Actinopteri, Pomacentridae. The transcript has 3 exons. The record is from RefSeq and is a predicted model, not a curated record.
ACCAUACCCGGAUUGAUCAUACUAUACUGUCAUUCUAUUCUGGUCCGUGUACGGAUCUGGUAAUUGGAUUUUCCGUUCUGAAACGGGUAUUGAAAAACAAAAAACGAGUGGUUAUUUGAUUUUCGUUUUAAAAUACAAAAAUUAAAAUUGAAAUACAAGGCGUUUUUCCUUUUCAUGAUCAAAAAGGGAUAUACGAUUUUUUUUAAAUGCUUUGAUUUUCGUUUUAUAUUUAGAAUAACAAGAAAGUAAAAUCAGUAAGAGACAAAAACGAAAAAAGGUCUGUUUUUUCAUUUUCUGAGACCGGAAGUGGUCAUCAGCAAGUGUGGAGCCAAACGACAACAAGAUUCUCAGAGGGCGGAGUCAGAGAGCAGUGAUUGGUCAGACCAAAGAUAGAAGACAGCGCGCUAGCGUAUCUCUAUCUUUGGAGUAAAACACAGUAAGAAGAUAAAUACUUCUAACCAGUAGCGUUAUUUUGUUGUACGUUAAGUCAGCGACUUGUGAAGAGUUGUGUUUUGUCGUGUUUGAGCAGUUGGUCCGGACGCGUUAGCUAGCUAAGCGGCUAAGUUAGCUAGCUAAGCGGCUAAGUUAGCUAGCUAAGCGGCUAAGUUAGCUAGCGGGCUAAUCAACACAGGUGGCUAACUUACCGCUGAACACCUGUGUUAGUUUCUGCCGCAGCUGUCCUCAUUAUUAGAAUGACCUUCUCAACCUGUAUUUCUCUGCUGUGUAUUUUAGCUUUUAAAAAAGUUGUUUUACUUUAAGGUUAACUGAAACCUGUUGAGCUGCACUGAAGUUUAACAUUCAGCUGGUUUGAAUUAAACCGCGCUUAACUUAACAUUGCGCAACAUUACCUCUCUGAAUCUCCAUAAUUUCAUUAAAUUCCUUCUCUCUUCCACUGCUCAAGUUCAAUCCAGUAUAUAAAAUGACAUUAAUAGUGAAUAAACUAACAACCAGCCAUUGUAUUUAUUUAUUACUGCAUGUAUUUGUAGUAAAACAUGAGUUGAAACAUCCUACUUUUGGAUCUAGAACUGCACAAGCCGUUCAUUUUCAGUCACCUGACGAGUUAAACUCCCCUUUUUAUGUGAGGUUGAAGCAGAAAGUCUGAGUUAACAAAGAAAGUUCUUUAUAAUUUGCGAUACCUGUUAUCUCUGACUGAGGCUUUAGUUUUUGUUGAGCUGAUUUACACAUAGAAACUUUGUUCAGGAAGAUUUCUCAGUAGCUCAGAGGACAAGCUGCUUUUUACACAACCUUGUAAGAGAAUGUCUGUCAAUGCUUUCAGCAGAAUUUAGAAACACAACACUUCCUAAACAGAUAUUUUGAGGCUGUGAGAUUGAACGUUUGAGAGUAUAUCAGUGUGUUUGUUUGUGGUCUUUCUGUUUCUAGGUGGAAGCUGAAUUAGUGAGGAUGACUCCUGGUCCUGUCAUCUCUAAGCUCCUCACACAUCUUUACCUGCACAUGAGGAAAAUCACUCCUGUAGAAUGCAGAUGUUCAGAGGGAGAUGAUGCCACAUCUGGUCCAGCUGAUGGAAGGUCUUGAAGUUCUCUGACUGGCCUCGACUGAAGAUGGUCGUCUCACUGGAUUUAAGGUUCAGAUGCUCAGUAACAAACUCCACCAAUGAGCCAACAGGGAAGCUUUAGGUUUAUUAAAUGUUGCUAUGAAGGUUUCGCUGUUUUUCUUUGUGAAUGCAAUGUGCUCCAACUGAAACUUGAAUUAGAGCUUAGAAGUAAAUCCUUCCAUCUGAAAGGAUUUAGUUGCAUUAAUAACCUCACAACAUUCUAAUUUUUAUUCCAGUCUUGGUUGGAAAUAGAAUCUCUGUAUUGAUUCAGGUAAAAACUGAACUUCACAGCAUGUUGAAGCAAAACAACCAGAUGAAAACUGUGAUGGUGUUGGAUUGUCAGACCUUAAUGUUGCAGCUCAAAGCAGCUUUUCUAUCUCAGUUCAUUCUGACAUUCAGCUAUGAAUCAACACAGCAGAUGGUGAUCCAUGCUGUGGAAGUCUCACAUCUCCUGAUUUAAUGGAGCUGCUUUGCACUUUUUACACUGUUUAUUCACCAACACUUUAUUUAAUAAAAGUCCCAUCUAGUUUUUAUGAGGAAUGUGAUGUUUUAAUUUCUCUGUGAAUAACUGCAGUCUAAUGCAACAGCUGGAGUUGUAACAUCUGUCCUGAUAUUGAUCAUGAAGUAUUGAUCAGAAUACUUAUGGUUAGCAGUCAUCCCUGAAGUUUUACAUUAAAAUCUUUACUUGUGUUGUGAACUUUGAUAAGAAGCAGAAAUGUUAGCGUUGCCAUGGAUACAUGAGUGUUAAAUUCUGUCCAUGUUUCCAUUUUGGGAUGCAGUCCAGUUCCAGAAUGUGGAGGAAUUUAGUCUCACAAUCACAGACAACAAAUAUUAUCUGAAAGUCGGGUUGUUGUUGUUUAUCAGCACAAUACAAAAAGAUUAAUGUUAGAAAUAUUCCAGUUAAGACUCUAGAAUAUCAUGAUUUAUGUAAAUUUACCUCAAUAAUAUGAAUGUUCAGGGAUAUUUAUUAUGUAAGUUCAGCUGAUUAAAGUUUAUGACUCUGCACUAAAAUAUUAUUUAAAUUGACAUCAUUAUUAUAAUAUUUAGGGUCAGACCCUACAGUAUUGAGAUUGAGAAAUCAAAUAUUCUAUAAAAUGUAUACACACUGAACUCAUUUGGAUAUAUUUAAGUGAGACUCUACAAUAUUAUUUCGCACAAAUCUAUCUAAAUCAAAAUUGUAAUAAUUUUCAAGCCAAACAUUUACUGGACUGAUUUAACUAUUAAAAUCACUCCUUUCUAAUCCUCUGCUGUACGUUCAAACCUGAGGCCUUAAACAGAAACACACAAGUAUCUGUUUGAAGGAACUUCUGCAGAGUCCUGGUUCCAGAACAUGAUGAUAGAAUUAUAGACAAACUUUAACAAAAGCUGCCUGAGAGUUUACAAGUUUUUAUGUUAGAUUUCUUCAGUAAUUUAAUGAGAGUUAUCAGCAAAAAUCAAGUGUUCAUUUGAUGAACUUCAUUUCCUAAAACAUACAGAAUUGGAGCUCAUAUCUUUGGCAGCUGUAAAGUUUCUGCUCCUUCAAAGUUCACAACACAAUGAAUGAAUUCCUAAAACACUCAAUGCUGGAGAGCGUUUGUGAUGCUGAAGCAGUGACCAGUUUUUCUGUUUCUUCUCUGGAGAUGCACAAUGAGGGACGUCUGCAGAGACUGAGAAAGAGUCUCACCACAUCCUGACAUGAGGAAAAAGACUUUAUUGAAGACUACAAUGAGAAAAACUAUCAGACAGCAGACGGCUGCAUUCAAGAGAAGAAGACCAUCAAACAUCCACGUCAGCUGAUGGAGGUCCAAGAGUCUCACCAAACAACCAACCUACAGAGUGAAGACCUCGAAUCUGAUUGGACGGCCUCCUAUUCAGCCACAUGUGUGAACAAAUGCCUCUAAGCUGAUUUGUUUCCUAAAAUAAAUCUAGUUUGAGUCCUAAUCUAUGCCUGUGUGUUUGCUUCUUUACACCGCUGUUAACAGUUUAGGCUGUUAGAUUGUUCCAGAUAAGACAAGUAAAAGAUACUUCAGAGCCGUUCUACCACGAGCCUGACAGGAAGAACUCCAACAGCUACUGAAUGUUCCUGUGGUCCCCUCAAGGCUACAGGAGGAGCCCUACGAGGACAAGCCGGUCCACCUGAUGGUGGCCAGUCGCUGCGGUUCAAAGCCAACACUGACUACGUGGACUUCUACUGGACCACACGGAGGCCUUCAAACCGGACCAACAAGUUCACCGACUCCCCGACUCGUGGGUCUGAGGACGCCGCCGAGCCUCGGUCCAGCCGGCCUCCUGUCUGUGGGUGUUUGAGUGCUGAGAGGUUUGUGGAUGCAUGUGAACGUCUGUGUUGAAACAGCAGCUUUGGACUCAGUAACGCUGGGAAAAACCAAGAGCUCCUUUAUUUGUGACUUCCACUAAAAAAACUGAUGAAAAUAAGUUUGCCAGGGUUCAGACUGAUAACAGAUUAUUAAAUAAUGAAAAUAAGAGUUUAAAUAUUCCUUUAAACAAUCCUUUUAGGUCUACAUUUCCUUUACACUGACUUCUUGAUAUAUGUACAAGUAUUUUGGGUGGAAUAUACCAUUAAGCCCAAUGUUCAAGGGUUCUUCUGGGAAUAUAGGGCGGCUGUGGCUCAGGUGGUAGAGCGGGUCGUCGUCGUUCAGGCGUUCUUUGUGUGAAAACUCAGAGAUUUCAGGUAUCAGAAGGUGGUUUUCAACUUUCUUUGUUAACUUUCUGCUUCAACUUUAAACUAAAUUUCCUUCACUAACCCAGCCCUCUGGACUUCCAGGAAGCUGUGUUCCUAUUGGCUGUCCAGGUGGCUGAUUGGUGUUAUCAGGAACACCUGAGCAGCUCAAUGUCUUCCUGCUUUAUUUAGCUGCAGACAAACAUUUCCUCUGUUUCUCUUCACCACUGAACCGGGUUUGGCUUCAUUGCUUUAGUUUGUUCUUUAGGCGUUGGCUUGCAGCUUCCAGCAGUAAAAUCGUCUUUAAUGUGUUUCUUGGUGUGUUUUAGGGCUUUGUACUGGAUAGUUGUCUUGGUAAAUGUGGUUCUUUAGCCACAGUUAGCACAUGGUGCUAAUGUGUGCAGUGAUUAGUGGAUUUGGUGCAGCUGAGUUGUGUCUUUAUCUUGGCUGUAGUGAGUCUUUAGAGGUUUUUGGUCAGACACAUUCUGUAUUCUUGUUUGAGAACCAACGUUGGUUGUCCAGAAGGUAAGAGUUCCUGUCCUGAUUCUCUGUUCUCAGAGGUUCUCUGGUAGACUGCAGGAGACUUUAGUGUUUGGGUUGUGCUAGUUUGGUUUUUGUACGGUUUCAUUUGGACGACUAUCUUGAGGCCCCUCCAUGUGGUUUAGUGAGGUUUUCUGGAACAGUUCUACAAAGCAACCUGCAGCAGAAGAGACUUUGAGAGUUUUUAGGAAGUUCUGGAGACCAGACUUUAGAGCAGCAGAAACAUUUGUCAGCAGUUUGAGCAGGAGAAGGUGAGCUUCAGAGUAGAAAUGAGACGGAAACCUUCUUGACCCGUGUGGUGAGGUCCUGUACCAAGAGUUUGAGCAGGUUGUGAAGAGUCUGUAGUUCUUUGGUCUGAAAGCACAAGAAGAGUCGACUCAUUAAAGGAGAAAACAGGAGAUAUUGUUGGUUCUUCUGUCGCUCUGCAGUUUCCUUAGACUGAAUAUCAAGUUUAUAUUUUAAAUGAUUUACCAUGUGAGCCCAAGAAGACUUCAAUAAACUCUCUCCAUCCCCUGGACACAACAUAUUUUAUUGCCAUGUUAAAUCUUUUUUUUUUUGUUUGUUUGUUUGUUUUUUUUUUAAAUGUUUUUGAGUUUUAAUCAUAGUUUUUGCAUAGUUUUUUUCUCUUUGCUUGUUUAG